CUUUAUUGGAGAGUUUGAUCCUGGCUCAGGAUGAACGCUGGCGGCGUGCCUAAUACAUGCAAGUCGAGCGAAUGGAUUGAGAGCUUGCUCUCAAGAAGUUAGCGGCGGACGGGUGAGUAACACGUGGGUAACCUGCCCAUAAGACUGGGAUAACUCCGGGAAACCGGGGCUAAUACCGGAUAACAUUUUGAACCG
RNAcentral lists this ribosomal RNA (195 nucleotides) under Bacillus sp. 196mf. Its description in RNAcentral is "partial 16S ribosomal RNA". It matches the Rfam family "Bacterial small subunit ribosomal RNA", at positions 1 to 188 of the family's 1533-position model. The record is from RNAcentral. Lineage: Bacteria; Bacillati; Bacillota; Bacilli; Caryophanales; Bacillaceae.